CUCGAAUCUGGUAGGACU
Molecule: ribosomal RNA, 18 nt
Filed under: Metarhizium sp. DOK 92
Lineage: Eukaryota; Fungi; Ascomycota; Sordariomycetes; Hypocreales; Clavicipitaceae
Description: partial 28S ribosomal RNA
Source: RNAcentral